UAAGGAAUAUUGGGCAAUGGACGCAAGUCUGACCCAGCCAUGCCGCGUGGAGGAUGAAGGCCCUCUGGGUUGUAAACUUCUUUUAUCUGGGACGAAACCCCUGUUUUCUAACGGGAUUGACGGUACCAGAGGAAUAAGCACCGGCUAACUCCGUGCCAGCAGCCGCGGUAAUACGGAGGGUGCAAGCGUUAUCCGGAUUCACUGGGUUUAAAGGGUGCGUAGGCGGGUCAGUAAGUCAGUGGUGAAAUCUCCAAGCUUAACUUGGAAACUGCCGUUGAUACUAUUGAUCUUGAAUAUCGUGGAGGUAAGCGGAAUAUGUCAUGUAGCGGUGAAAUGCUUAGAUAUGACAUAGAACACCAAUUGCGAAGGCAGCUUACUACGCGGUCAUUGACGCUGAGGCACGAAAGCGUGGGGAGCAAACAGG
RNAcentral lists this ribosomal RNA (424 nucleotides) under uncultured bacterium. RNAcentral describes it as "bacterial SSU rRNA". It matches the Rfam family "Bacterial small subunit ribosomal RNA", at positions 355 to 776 of the family's 1533-position model. The record is from RNAcentral.